GCCUCUUAGCGGGGGAUAGCUAUUGGAAACGAUAGCUAAUACCGCAUAAAAGUCGACAUUGCAUGAUGUUGACUUGAAAGGUGCAACUGCAUCACUAAGAGAUGGACCUGCGUUGUAUUAGCUAGUUGGUGAGGUAACGGCUCACCAAGGCGACGAUACAUAGCCGACCUGAGAGGGUGAUCGGCCACACUGGGACUGAGACACGGCCCAG
This 211-nucleotide ribosomal RNA is filed under the name uncultured bacterium. Its description in RNAcentral is "partial 16S ribosomal RNA". It matches the Rfam family "Bacterial small subunit ribosomal RNA", at positions 128 to 334 of the family's 1533-position model. The record is from RNAcentral.